This 178-nucleotide ribosomal RNA is filed under the name uncultured bacterium. RNAcentral's name for it is "partial 16S ribosomal RNA". It matches the Rfam family "Bacterial small subunit ribosomal RNA", at positions 1309 to 1500 of the family's 1533-position model. The record is from RNAcentral.
AGCUCGCCUACAUGAAGCUGGAAUUGCUAGUAAUCACAGGUCAGCAUACUGUGGUGAAUACGUUCCCGGGCCUUGUACACACCGCCCGUCACACCAUGAGAGUUGAGAAUACCCGAAGCCCAUGUCAAAGUGGUCGAAGGUAGGCUUGAUGAUUGGGGUGAAGUCGUAACAAGGUACC